GAUAGAUAGGCAUGCGUUCCAUUAGGCAGUUGGCGGGGUAACGGCCCACCAAACCGACGAUGGAUAGGGGUUCUGAGAGGAAGGUCCCCCACAUUGGUACUGAGACACGGACCAAACUCCUACGGGAGGCAGCAGUGAGGAAUAUUGGUCAAUGGGCGUAAGCCUGAACCAGCCAAGUCGCGUGAGGGAUGAAGGUUCUAUGGAUCGUAAACCUCUUUUAUAAGGGAAUAAAGUGCGGGACGUGUCCCGUUUUGUAUGUACCUUAUGAAUAAGGAUCGGCUAACUCCGUGCCAGCAGCCGCGGUAAUACGGAGGAUCCGAGCGUUAUCCGGAUUUAUUGGGUUUAAAGGGUGCGUAGGCGGCCUUUUAAGUCAGCGGUGAAAGUCUGUGGCUCAACCAUAGAAUUGCCGUUGAAACUGGGAGGCUUGAGUAUGUUUGAGGCAGGCGGAAUGCGUGGUGUAGCGGUGAAAUGCUUAGAUAUCACGCAGAACCCCGAUUGCGAAGGCAGCCUGCCAAGCCAUGACUGACGCUGAUGCACGAAAGCGUGGGGAUCAAACAGGAUUAGAUACCCUGGUAGUCCACGCAG
This 585-nucleotide ribosomal RNA is filed under the name uncultured bacterium. RNAcentral describes it as "bacterial SSU rRNA". It matches the Rfam family "Bacterial small subunit ribosomal RNA", at positions 220 to 802 of the family's 1533-position model. The record is from RNAcentral.